UUUAGACCAUGUAGAGCCUGAGUCCAUAUGAAGUUGAACUGGAGGAUGUCGGUGUAGUUUUGGCUUCAGUUUAACUUCAUAUGGACUCAGGCUCUACAUGGUCUAAA
Molecule: microRNA precursor, 107 nt
Filed under: Xyrichtys novacula (pearly razorfish)
Lineage: Eukaryota; Metazoa; Chordata; Actinopteri; Labriformes; Labridae
Source: RNAcentral